Molecule: long non-coding RNA, 464 nt
Organism: Branchiostoma floridae (Florida lancelet)
Lineage: Eukaryota; Metazoa; Chordata; Leptocardii; Amphioxiformes; Branchiostomatidae
Exons: 3
Source: RefSeq, a predicted model, not a curated record
ACAGUCAGAACCACAUCACUGCACGCGAAUUCACUAGAUUUACAUGAGUGCCACCUGUGUUUUAGUCACAGGAAGCACGUCCAUCAUAUAUGCCACAGUCAUUCACUCAUCUUGCUGUUCCAGAUACGUACCUUUCAGCAUCACAUCCAAAUAACCACAGUACUUGUCACAGCUUCCCGCCAUUCGUCCAACAGUCCGACCUGACACAGUGGUCACUGAUCGCACAUACGUCAAGUUGCAAGCACUCACAGGUUGUGAUAGAUGUCUCCAACCGCCGACCCAGUUUGUCUGACUUCUAUGUGUUCCUGAUACUUUCCUUGGCCCGUUCACUUUGGAGGAGAAUAACCUGUCCAGAUCGUCUAACACAACGAGCUGGACCUCGUCCUUGGUUUGGCAUCUCAGUAAAUUCUGUCUGGCCGUGCAUUUCGCAACAAGCUCUGUUCCAUACCAACGGUUGGUCCUCU